ACGCUCGACACCUACGGAGGCAGCAGUCGGGAAUAUUGCGCAAUGGAGGAAACUCUGACGCAGUGACGCCGCGUAUGAGAAGAAGGUUUUCGGAUUGUAAACCAUUUUAGACAAGGAAGAAACAAGACAGUACUUGUAGAAUAAGCUCCGGCUAACUACGUGCCAGUAGCCGCGGUAAUCUGAGCGGGCUGGCAAGGC
Molecule: ribosomal RNA, 198 nt
Filed under: uncultured bacterium
Lineage: Bacteria
Description: partial 16S ribosomal RNA
Rfam family: Bacterial small subunit ribosomal RNA
Source: RNAcentral